UCGUAACAAGGUCUCCGUUGGUGAACCAGCGGAGGGAUCAUUACUGAGUUUACGCUCUACAACCCUUUGUGAACAUACCUAUAACUGUUGCUUCGGCGGGUAGGGUCUCCGUGACCCUCCCGGCCUCCCGCCCCCGGGCGGGUCGGCGCCCGCCGGAGGAUAACCAAACUCUGAUUUAACGACGUUUCUUCUGAGUGGUACAAGCAAAUAAUCAAAACUUUUAACAACGGAUCUCUUGGUUCUGGCAUCGAUGAAGAACGCAGCGAAAUGCGAUAAGUAAUGUGAAUUGCAGAAUUCAGUGAAUCAUCGAAUCUUUGAACGCACAUUGCGCCCGCCAGCAUUCUGGCGGGCAUGCCUGUUCGAGCGUCAUUUCAACCCUCAAGCUCUGCUUGGUGUUGGGGCCCUACAGCUGAUGUAGGCCCUCAAAGGUAGUGGCGGACCCUCCCGGAGCCUCCUUUGCGUAGUAACUUUACGUCUCGCACUGGGAUCCGGAGGGACUCUUGCCGUAAAACCCCCCAAUUUUCCAAAGGUUGACCUCGGAUCAGGUAGGAAUACCCGCUGAACUUAAGCAUAUCAAUA
RNAcentral lists this ribosomal RNA (579 nucleotides) under fungal endophyte. RNAcentral describes it as "eukaryotic LSU rRNA". The stretch from base 216 to 369 matches the Rfam family "5.8S ribosomal RNA". Lineage: Eukaryota; Fungi. The record is from RNAcentral.